Molecule: ribosomal RNA, 434 nt
Filed under: uncultured bacterium
Lineage: Bacteria
Description: partial 16S ribosomal RNA
Rfam family: Bacterial small subunit ribosomal RNA
Source: RNAcentral
AGCGAACGCUGGCGGCAGGCCUAACACAUGCAAGUCGAACGAACCUUUCGGGGUUAGUGGCGGACGGGUGAGUAACACGUGGGAACGUGCCUUUAGGUUCGGAAUAACUCAGGGAAACUAGUGCUAAUACCGAAUGUGCCCUUCGGGGGAAAGAUUUAUCGCCUUUAGAGCGGCCCGCGUCUGAUUAGCUAGUUGGUUGAGGUAAUGGCUCACCAAGGCGACGAUCAGUAGCUGGUCUGAGAGGAUGAUCAGCCACAUUGGGACUGAGACACGGCCCAAACUCCUACGGGAGGCAGCAGUGGGGAAUCUUGCGCAAUGGGCGAAAGCCUGACGCAGCCAUGCCGCGUGAAUGAUGAAGGUCUUAGGAUUGUAAAAUUCUUUCAACGGGGACGAUAAUGACGGUACCCGGAGAAGAAGCCCCGGCUAACUUCGUG